This 576-nucleotide ribosomal RNA is filed under the name uncultured bacterium. Its description in RNAcentral is "bacterial SSU rRNA". It matches the Rfam family "Bacterial small subunit ribosomal RNA", at positions 28 to 638 of the family's 1533-position model. The record is from RNAcentral.
AAUCAACGCUGGCGGCGUGCCUAACACAUGCAAGUCGAACGAGAAAGUGGAGCAAUCCAUGAGUAAAGUGGCGACCGGGUGAGUAACACGUGACUAACCUACCUUUCAGUGGGGAAUAACCUCGGGAAACCGGGGCUAAUACCGCAUAAUGUCUUCGGACCAAAGGAGCAAUUCGCUGGAAGAGGGGGUCGCGGCCGAUUAGCUAGUUGGCGGGGUAACGGCCCACCAAGGCAAUGAUCGGUAGCCGGCCUGAGAGGGCGCACGGCCACACUGGAACUGAAACACGGUCCAGACUCCUACGGGAGGCAGCAGUGGGGAAUUUUGCGCAAUGGGGGAAACCCUGACGCAGCAACGCCGCGUGGAGGAUGAAGCCCCUUGGGGUGUAAACUCCUUUCGAUCGGGACGAUGAUGACGGUACCGGAUGAAGAAGCACCGGCUAACUCUGUGCCAGCAGCCGCGGUAAUACAGAGGGUGCAAGCGUUGUUCGGAAUUAUUGGGCGUAAAGGGUGCGUAGGCGGUGCGGUAAGUCCGUUUAAAUCUCCGGGCUCAACUCGGAGCCUGCAACGGAAACUGCCG